GAUGAAGAACGUAGCGAAAUGCGAUAAGUAAUGUGAAUUGCAGAAUUCAGUGAAUCAUCGAAUCUUUGAACGCACAUUGCGCCCGCUAGUAUUCUGGCGGGCAUGCCUGUUCGAGCGUCAUUUCAACCCUCAGGCCCCGCCUGGCGUUGGGGAUCGGCGCGGCCCUCUCCGGGCUGCCGGCCCCGAAAACUAGUGGCGGUCUCGCUGUAGUCCUCCUCUGCGCAGUAGCAACGCUCGCACUGGAACUCGGCGCGGCCACGCCGUAAAACACCCCACUUCUGAAAGUUGACCUCGGAUCAGGUAGGAAUACCCGCUGAACUUAAGCAUAUCAAUAAGCGGAGGA
Molecule: unclassified non-coding RNA, 343 nt
Filed under: soil metagenome
Description: partial contains 5.8S ribosomal RNA, internal transcribed spacer 2, and large subunit ribosomal RNA
Rfam family: 5.8S ribosomal RNA (bases 1-120)
Source: RNAcentral